This 214-nucleotide unclassified non-coding RNA is filed under the name Hevea brasiliensis (rubber tree). Lineage: Eukaryota; Viridiplantae; Streptophyta; Magnoliopsida; Malpighiales; Euphorbiaceae. The record is from RNAcentral.
GAGCAGAGGAGAAGAACGCCGCAGCUCAUCAGCCGAACUUUCAUCAGGGGAGGCGAAGCAUGCUGAGAGCAACGUUAGGGACCAUGCACGGCUGAAAGCUUGACCAAGAAGCCCCAAGCAAAUAUCGCUCAAGAAUUCGUGCAGACCGAUCUAGGAGUCUAAGAUCAACAAAGGAGUACAAAGGGUCGAAAAAUAGGAGUAAAUUGAAUGGGCG